GCAAGGAACCACUUGAAAGAGGGCUCCUCACAUGAUUACGUCCAAGACUGAUCAGAGAUUUCUGA
RNAcentral lists this non-coding RNA (65 nucleotides) under Leersia perrieri. RNAcentral's name for it is "Small nucleolar RNA Z118/Z121/Z120". It matches the Rfam family "Small nucleolar RNA Z118/Z121/Z120", at positions 38 to 101 of the family's 108-position model. Rfam says of the family: This family consists of several snoRNA Z118, Z121 and Z120 sequences which are members of the C/D class of snoRNA which contain the C (UGAUGA) and D (CUGA) box motifs. This family seems to be found exclusively in rice. C/D box small nucleolar RNAs are known to act as a methylation guides for 18S ribosomal RNA in plants. The record is from Rfam by way of RNAcentral. Lineage: Eukaryota; Viridiplantae; Streptophyta; Magnoliopsida; Poales; Poaceae.